UACAGAGGUCUCAAGCGUUGUUCGGAAUCACUGGGCGUAAAGGGUGCGUAGGCCGCCCGGUAAGUCAGAUGUGAAAGCCCGGAGCUCAACUCCGGAACUGCAUCCGAUACUGCCGUGCUUGAGGACUGGAGAGGAGUCUGGAAUUCACAGUGGAGCAGUGAAAUGCGUAGAGAUGUGGAGGAACACCGAUGGCGAAGGCAGCCUCCUGGGCCAACACUGACGCUCAUGCACGAAAGCGUGGGGAGCAAACAGG
Molecule: ribosomal RNA, 253 nt
Filed under: uncultured bacterium
Lineage: Bacteria
Description: partial 16S ribosomal RNA
Rfam family: Bacterial small subunit ribosomal RNA
Source: RNAcentral